RNAcentral lists this ribosomal RNA (2921 nucleotides) under Staphylococcus aureus subsp. aureus D139. RNAcentral's name for it is "bacterial LSU rRNA". It matches the Rfam family "Bacterial large subunit ribosomal RNA". RNAcentral also lists the same sequence under 1 other name. The record is from RNAcentral. Lineage: Bacteria; Bacillati; Bacillota; Bacilli; Caryophanales; Staphylococcaceae.
UUAAGUUAUUAAGGGCGCACGGUGGAUGCCUUGGCACUAGAAGCCGAUGAAGGACGUUACUAACGACGAUAUGCUUUGGGGAGCUGUAAGUAAGCUUUGAUCCAGAGAUUUCCGAAUGGGGAAACCCAGCAUGAGUUAUGUCAUGUUAUCGAUAUGUGAAUACAUAGCAUAUCAGAAGGCACACCCGGAGAACUGAAACAUCUUAGUACCCGGAGGAAGAGAAAGAAAAUUCGAUUCCCUUAGUAGCGGCGAGCGAAACGGGAAGAGCCCAAACCAACAAGCUUGCUUGUUGGGGUUGUAGGACACUCUAUACGGAGUUACAAAGGACGACAUUAGACGAAUCAUCUGGAAAGAUGAAUCAAAGAAGGUAAUAAUCCUGUAGUCGAAAAUGUUGUCUCUCUUGAGUGGAUCCUGAGUACGACGGAGCACGUGAAAUUCCGUCGGAAUCUGGGAGGACCAUCUCCUAAGGCUAAAUACUCUCUAGUGACCGAUAGUGAACCAGUACCGUGAGGGAAAGGUGAAAAGCACCCCGGAAGGGGAGUGAAAUAGAACCUGAAACCGUGUGCUUACAAGUAGUCAGAGCCCGUUAAUGGGUGAUGGCGUGCCUUUUGUAGAAUGAACCGGCGAGUUACGAUUUGAUGCAAGGUUAAGCAGUAAAUGUGGAGCCGUAGCGAAAGCGAGUCUGAAUAGGGCGUUUAGUAUUUGGUCGUAGACCCGAAACCAGGUGAUCUACCCUUGGUCAGGUUGAAGUUCAGGUAACACUGAAUGGAGGACCGAACCGACUUACGUUGAAAAGUGAGCGGAUGAACUGAGGGUAGCGGAGAAAUUCCAAUCGAACCUGGAGAUAGCUGGUUCUCUCCGAAAUAGCUUUAGGGCUAGCCUCAAGUGAUGAUUAUUGGAGGUAGAGCACUGUUUGGACGAGGGGCCCCUCUCGGGUUACCGAAUUCAGACAAACUCCGAAUGCCAAUUAAUUUAACUUGGGAGUCAGAACAUGGGUGAUAAGGUCCGUGUUCGAAAGGGAAACAGCCCAGACCACCAGCUAAGGUCCCAAAAUAUAUGUUAAGUGGAAAAGGAUGUGGCGUUGCCCAGACAACUAGGAUGUUGGCUUAGAAGCAGCCAUCAUUUAAAGAGUGCGUAAUAGCUCACUAGUCGAGUGACACUGCGCCGAAAAUGUACCGGGGCUAAACAUAUUACCGAAGCUGUGGAUUGUCCUUUGGACAAUGGUAGGAGAGCGUUCUAAGGGCGUUGAAGCAUGAUCGUAAGGACAUGUGGAGCGCUUAGAAGUGAGAAUGCCGGUGUGAGUAGCGAAAGACGGGUGAGAAUCCCGUCCACCGAUUGACUAAGGUUUCCAGAGGAAGGCUCGUCCGCUCUGGGUUAGUCGGGUCCUAAGCUGAGGCCGACAGGCGUAGGCGAUGGAUAACAGGUUGAUAUUCCUGUACCACCUAUAAUCGUUUUAAUCGAUGGGGGGACGCAGUAGGAUAGGCGAAGCGUGCGAUUGGAUUGCACGUCUAAGCAGUAAGGCUGAGUAUUAGGCAAAUCCGGUACUCGUUAAGGCUGAGCUGUGAUGGGGAGAAGACGUUGUGUCUUCGAGUCGUUGAUUUCACACUGCCGAGAAAAGCCUCUAGAUAGAAAAUAGGUGCCCGUACCGCAAACCGACACAGGUAGUCAAGAUGAGAAUUCUAAGGUGAGCGAGCGAACUCUCGUUAAGGAACUCGGCAAAAUGACCCCGUAACUUCGGGAGAAGGGGUGCUCUUUAGGGUUAACGCCCAGAAGAGCCGCAGUGAAUAGGCCCAAGCGACUGUUUAUCAAAAACACAGGUCUCUGCUAAACCGUAAGGUGAUGUAUAGGGGCUGACGCCUGCCCGGUGCUGGAAGGUUAAGAGGAGUGGUUAGCUUCUGCGAAGCUACGAAUCGAAGCCCCAGUAAACGGCGGCCGUAACUAUAACGGUCCUAAGGUAGCGAAAUUCCUUGUCGGGUAAGUUCCGACCCGCACGAAAGGCGUAACGAUUUGGGCACUGUCUCAACGAGAGACUCGGUGAAAUCAUAGUACCUGUGAAGAUGCAGGUUACCCGCGACAGGACGGAAAGACCCCGUGGAGCUUUACUGUAGCCUGAUAUUGAAAUUCGGCACAGCUUGUACAGGAUAGGUAGGAGCCUUUGAAACGUGAGCGCUAGCUUACGUGGAGGCGCUGGUGGGAUACUACCCUAGCUGUGUUGGCUUUCUAACCCGCACCACUUAUCGUGGUGGGAGACAGUGUCAGGCGGGCAGUUUGACUGGGGCGGUCGCCUCCUAAAAGGUAACGGAGGCGCUCAAAGGUUCCCUCAGAAUGGUUGGAAAUCAUUCAUAGAGUGUAAAGGCAUAAGGGAGCUUGACUGCGAGACCUACAAGUCGAGCAGGGUCGAAAGACGGACUUAGUGAUCCGGUGGUUCCGCAUGGAAGGGCCAUCGCUCAACGGAUAAAAGCUACCCCGGGGAUAACAGGCUUAUCUCCCCCAAGAGUUCACAUCGACGGGGAGGUUUGGCACCUCGAUGUCGGCUCAUCGCAUCCUGGGGCUGUAGUCGGUCCCAAGGGUUGGGCUGUUCGCCCAUUAAAGCGGUACGCGAGCUGGGUUCAGAACGUCGUGAGACAGUUCGGUCCCUAUCCGUCGUGGGCGUAGGAAAUUUGAGAGGAGCUGUCCUUAGUACGAGAGGACCGGGAUGGACAUACCUCUGGUGUACCAGUUGUCGUGCCAACGGCAUAGCUGGGUAGCUAUGUGUGGACGGGAUAAGUGCUGAAAGCAUCUAAGCAUGAAGCCCCCCUCAAGAUGAGAUUUCCCAACUUCGGUUAUAAGAUCCCUCAAAGAUGAUGAGGUUAAUAGGUUCGAGGUGGAAGCAUGGUGACAUGUGGAGCUGACGAAUACUAAUCGAUCGAAGACUUAAUCAA